Molecule: ribosomal RNA, 254 nt
Filed under: uncultured bacterium
Lineage: Bacteria
Description: partial 16S ribosomal RNA
Rfam family: Bacterial small subunit ribosomal RNA
Source: RNAcentral
UACGGGGGGAGCAAGCGUUGUUCGGAUUUACUGGGCGUAAAGGGCGCGUAGGCGGUCAGCACAGGUCAGUUGUGAAAUCUCCGGGCUUAACUCGGAAAGGUCAACUGAUACUGUGCGACUAGAGUGCAGAAGGGGCAACUGGAAUUCUCGGUGUAGAGGUGAAAUUCGUAGAUAUCGGGAGGAACACCGGUGGCGAAGGCGGCGUCCUGGACCAACACUGACACUGAGGAGCGAAAGCCAGGGGAGCAAACGGG